CCAGCCAUGCCGCGUGAGUGAUGAAGGCCUUAGGGUCGUAAAGCUCUUUCGCCUGUGAAGAUAAUGACUGUAGCAGGUAAAGAAACCCCGGCUAACUCCGUGCCAGCAGCCGCGGUAAUACGGAGGGGGUUAGCGUUGUUCGGAAUUACUGGGCGUAAAGCGCGCGUAGGCGGACUGGAAAGUUGGGGGUGAAAUCCCAGGGCUCAACCCUGGAACUGCCUCCAAAACUAUCAGUCUAGAGUUCGAGAGAGGUGAGUGGAAUUCCGAGUGUAGAGGUGAAAUUCGUAGAUAUUCGGAGGAACACCAGUGGCGAAGGCGGCUCACUGGCUCGAUACUGACGCUGAGGUGCGAAAGUGUGGGGAGCAAACAGGAUUAGAUACCCUGGUAGUCCACACCGUAAACGAUGAAGGCCAGUCGUCGGGUAGCAUGCUAUUCGGUGACACACCUAACGGAUUAAGCAUUCCGCC
Molecule: ribosomal RNA, 467 nt
Filed under: uncultured marine bacterium
Lineage: Bacteria
Description: bacterial SSU rRNA
Rfam family: Bacterial small subunit ribosomal RNA
Source: RNAcentral